Molecule: non-coding RNA, 20 nt
Filed under: Mus musculus (house mouse)
Lineage: Eukaryota; Metazoa; Chordata; Mammalia; Rodentia; Muridae
Source: RNAcentral
UCUCAUGGUACUGGCAUCUG